UGCGACUCUUCGGAGGCGUUACACAGGUGCUGCAUGGCCGUCGUCAGCUCGUGUCGUGAGAUGUUUGGUUAAGUCCAGCAACGAGCGCAACCCCUGUUGCCAGUUACCAGCACGUGAAGGUGGGGACUCUGGCGAGACUGCCCAGAUCAACUGGGAGGAAGGUGGGGACGACGUCAGGUCAGUAUGGCCCUUAUGCCCAGGGCUGCACACGUACUACAAUGCCCAGUACAGAGGGGGCCGAAGCCGCGAGGCGGAGGAAAUCCUAAAAACUGGGCCCAGUUCGGACUGUAGGCUGCAACCCGCCUACACGAAGCCGGAAUCGCUAGUAAUGGCGCAUCAGCUACGGCGCCGUGAAUACGUUCCCGGGUCUUGUACACACCGCCCGUCACAUCAUGGAAGCCGGUCGCACCCGAAGUAUCUGAAGCCAACCGCAAGGAGGCAGGGUCCUAAGGUGAGACUGGUAACUGGGAUGAAGUCGUAACAAGGUAGCCGUAGGGGAACCUGCGGCUGGAUCAC
Molecule: ribosomal RNA, 516 nt
Filed under: uncultured bacterium
Lineage: Bacteria
Description: bacterial SSU rRNA
Rfam family: Bacterial small subunit ribosomal RNA
Source: RNAcentral